AUUGAACGCUGGCGGCAGGCCUAACACAUGCAAGUCGAGCGGAUGAAGGGAGCUUGCUCCUGGAUUCAGCGGCGGACGGGUGAGUAAUGCCUAGGAAUCUGCCUGGUAGUGGGGGAUAACGUCCGGAAACGGGCGCUAAUACCGCAUACGUCCUGAGGGAGAAAGUGGGGGAUCUUCGGACCUCACGCUAUCAGAUGAGCCUAGGUCGGAUUAGCUAGUUGGCGGGGUAAAGGCCUACCAAGGCGACGAUCCGUAACUGGUCUGAGAGGAUGAUCAGUCACACUGGAACUGAGACACGGUCCAGACUCCUACGGGAGGCAGCAGUGGGGAAUAUUGGACAAUGGGCGAAAGCCUGAUCCAGCCAUGCCGCGUGUGUGAAGAAGGUCUUCGGAUUGUAAAGCACUUUAAGUUGGGAGGAAGGGCAGUAAGUUAAUACCUUGCUGUUUUGACGUUACCAACAGAAUAAGCACCGGCUAACUUCGU
Molecule: ribosomal RNA, 483 nt
Filed under: uncultured bacterium
Lineage: Bacteria
Description: partial 16S ribosomal RNA
Rfam family: Bacterial small subunit ribosomal RNA
Source: RNAcentral